This 490-nucleotide ribosomal RNA is filed under the name uncultured bacterium. RNAcentral describes it as "partial 16S ribosomal RNA". It matches the Rfam family "Bacterial small subunit ribosomal RNA", at positions 28 to 507 of the family's 1533-position model. The record is from RNAcentral.
GAUGAACGCUGGCUACAGGCUUAACACAUGCAAGUCGAGGGGAAACGACGGGGAAGCUUGCUUCCCCGGGCGUCGACCGGCGCACGGGUGAGUAACGCGUAUCCAACCUGCCUCUGACUGAGGGAUAACCCGUCGAAAGUCGGCCUAAUACCUCAUGGCAUCGUCUGCGGGCAUCCAACGACGAUUAAAGAUUUCAUCGGUCAGAGAUGGGGAUGCGUCUGAUUAGCUUGUUGCGGGGUAACGGCCCACCAAGGCGACGAUCAGUAGGGGUUCUGAGAGGAAGGUCCCCCACAUUGGAACUGAGACACGGUCCAAACUCCUACGGGAGGCAGCAGUGAGGAAUAUUGGUCAAUGGGCGAGAGCCUGAACCAGCCAAGUAGCGUGCAGGAUGACGGCCCUAUGGGUUGUAAACUGCUUUUAUGCGGGGAUAAAGUGAGGGACGUGUCCUUCAUUGCAGGUACCGCAUGAAUAAGGACCGGCUAAUUCCGUG